This 253-nucleotide ribosomal RNA is filed under the name uncultured bacterium. Its description in RNAcentral is "partial 16S ribosomal RNA". It matches the Rfam family "Bacterial small subunit ribosomal RNA", at positions 524 to 776 of the family's 1533-position model. The record is from RNAcentral.
UACGUAGGGGGCAAGCGUUGUCCGGAAUCAUUGGGCGUAAAGAGCGUGUAGGCGGCUCGAUAAGUCCGCUGUGAAAGUCCAGGGCUCAACCCUGGAAGGCCGGUGGAAACUGUCGGGCUAGAGUCCGGAAGAGGCGAGUGGAAUUCCCGGUGUAGCGGUGAAAUGCGCAGAUAUCGGGAGGAGCACCAAUGGCGAAGGCAGCUCGCUGGGACGGUACUGACGCUGAGACGCGAAAGCGUGGGGAGCAAACAGG